This 2884-nucleotide long non-coding RNA is filed under the name Equus caballus (horse). RNAcentral's name for it is "lncRNA (ENSECAG00000045712.1)". Lineage: Eukaryota; Metazoa; Chordata; Mammalia; Perissodactyla; Equidae. The record is from RNAcentral.
AGGGAUGGGAAAGAAAUGAUGGGGAAGGCACCCUGCAGUCUGAGACCCAGACCCAGGAGCAGCACAUCGCUUGUCCUUAGGCUCCAAAGGCGAGUCACAGUCACAUGGCCAUACUUAACCUCCGGGGAGGGUGAUAAAUACAGUCCAUCUGGACAGUCAUGUGCCCCAUUACAACCCUGUUACCGUGGGAGAAGGGGAGAAUGGGUUUUGGUAGACAAAAUCCACCACACAUUCCCUCACUUUCCUUUGUGGUUUUACCACCUUGGUGUGCACCUCUCAACAAUAUCUUUCAGUAAAUAAAACAAAAACUAAAUGGCAAGCAAAUACUUAGCUGUGUAAGGAAAGGGCACUAUUACCACUAUCUGAUUGAAGGUUUCCAGGAAAACAAACUAAAUAGAGGUUCUACAUCAUAGUCUGGCUUCAGCUUCCUAAGUUGUUUACAGGAGCCCCUUCUGGUAAGAUCAGUGGGCCACUGCAAAAAAGAGUUCACAAGCAGGCCCAAGACUGCUCUCCUUAGAAAGGUCUGCUUGCAAGGUUGGACCUUGGCUGCCAUCUGGGAACCUGGAUUUCAAGAGGGCUCCUGCUGUUCUCUAAAUGAUAAGAGUGACGCUUUGUGCAUAAACUGUGCAGACAAUAUGGUUAAUGUUGAGACCGGCUUUCCUUCUGGGACUCUGGAAGUUUGGUACGUGCUAAGCAGUGGGUACCUAUGUGACGAGCCUCCAGUAAAAACCCUGGGUGCUAAGUCUCUAAGGAGCUUCCCUGGUUGACACACUUCACAUGCGUUGUCAUGAAUUCAAUGCUGGAGGAAUUAAGCAUGUCCUGUGUGACUCCAAUGGGAGAGGACUCCUGGCUCACGCCUGGUUUCCUCUAGAUUUUGCCCAUCACCUUUUUCCUUUGCUGAUUUUGCUUUGUGUCCUUUUGCUGUAAUAAAGCAAAGCUGUGAGUACAACUACAUGCUGAGUUCGGUGAGUCCUCCCAGCGGGUCACCGAACCUGGGAGUGGCCUUGGGCAACCUUACACAGCAAGUUCAUGAAAGUAUGCUGGGAAACAUAUGAGUCAGCACAGGUGGAGCACCUGGCUGGACUACAGUGUGGGUCAGGUUCAGCAUGUCUCUCAGGAAUAGUGUCAAGAUGAGGGGGAGUUCCUGUAUUUUCUGCUGCUUAGUUCAGGAGUAGGGCAGAGCAGAAUAUUUCUAUGGAAUGAAAUGAAUGCUCUCAGUUAAUUCAGGUGGCAGGGGCUAGAAGGGAGGGCAAGAAAUUCAUUACGUACAAAAUGAUAACACAAAGGACAGGGUGGUAGCUACCUCAGGGAGAGGAACACAGGGAACUUCUAAGAUCUGGUAACGUUCUGUUUCCUAACCUGAGUGAUGAGUCCACUGGUAGUGAUUUUAUUCUUAUUCUUUUAAUCAUACGUAUAUAUUUUACAUACACUCUUUUAUAUGUAAAUAUGUGUGUAUGAAUCAUUUUUAAAAAAGUUAAAAAUACAGUAAUAAUGAAAUAGUAUUUGACCCUUCCAUAUUGGCAAACAUUAAAAAGUUUGAUAAUAUGCAACACUGGAGAGUGCAUGGCAAAACUAGCAUCUUCAUAAGUUUCAAUAGGAAUGUAAGUUGAUGUAAACUUGCUGAAGUAUAAUUUUACCUUAUCUAUGGAAAAUGUACAUGCACAGAGCAAAUCAACAAGAAAAAGACAACCCAGUUUCUAAAAUGGGCAAAAGACUGGAACAGACACUUCACAAAAGAUAACAUUCAAAUGGCCAAUAAUCAUAUGGAAAGGUGCUCAAUGUCAUCACUCAUCAGAGAAACACAAAAUUAAAGCACAAUAGUACUCUUGCACUCCCACCAGAAUGGCUAAAAUUAAAAGUACUGAAAAACCAAGUGUUGGUGAGGAAAUGGAGCAGCUGAAAAUGUAAACUGGUACAGCCACUUUGGAAAAUGGUUUUGCAGGAUCUAAAACUAAGCACAAAUACAAGCUAAAACACAUAUACCCUAUGACCCAGCAAUUCCACUCUUGGGUCUAUAUCUAACUGAAAUACAUACUAUGUUCAUCAAAAAAUAUAUACAAAAAUGUUCCUAAUAGCUUUACUUGUAAUAGCCAAAAACUGGAAACAACCCAAAUGUCUAUCAGCAGUAGAAUGGUUAAAUAGAUUGUGGUAUAUUCAUACAUUUCUGUGGAACACUACAUAGCAAUGAAAAAUAACUACUGCUACACACAACAACAUGGAUGAAUCCCACAGGCAUAAUGUUGAAUGGAAGUAGCCAGACACAAGAGUACCUAAUGUGUAAUUCCAUUUAUAUGAAGUUCGAAAACAGACAGAACUAAUCAGCGGCAUCAGACUAGUGGUUAUCUUUGAAGGAGAUAAUGAUUGAGAGAGGACGUACGGAGUCUUCUCGGGUGCUGGAAAUUCUAUAUUUUUAUCUGUGUGCGUACAUAUAUAAAAUUGUAUCAAUCUCUACACUCAGGAUUUUCAUACUUUAUAUGUUACACCUCAAUAAAAAAGGAGAAAAUCCAAUUAUCUAAUAAAAGUUAAAUGAAGUGUGAUGCCCAUAGCCCUACUAAAGUCAAGACAAGAAUGGCCAUUGUCUCUGCUACCGUUUAACAUAGUACUGAAGGUAUUAACUAAAGCAAUCAGAUAAGAGGAAGAAAUUAGAUGUAUAAAUAUUAGAAAAGAGGAAGUGAAACUCUUCCUACUUGUUGAUGAUAUGAUCAAACACUUAGAAAACCCGAGAGAAUCAACCUAAAAAAACUGCUGAGAAUUCAGUGAAGCGAUAGGGUCUAACGUUAUCUACAGAAAUCAGAAGCCUUCAUGCACAUGAAUGCACAAACAGCAUUACAGUGAACAUCCUCAUGUGUGCGGCUCACGUGUUCUUCAUUUGACUGAAACCACC